UGGGGGAUAUUGCACAAUGGGCGAAAGCCUGAUGCAGCGACGCCGCGUGGGGGAUGAAGGCCUUCGGGUUGUAAACUUCUUUUGCUCUGAACAAGGCAUGCCUUUGGGGUGUGUUGAGUGUAGGGGUUGAUUAGCGCCGGCUAACUACGUGCCAGCAGCCGCGGUAAUACGUAGGGCGCGAGCGUUGUCCGGAAUUAUGGGGCGUAAAGGGCUUGGAGGUGGCUGGUUGCGUCUGUCGUGAAAGCUCAUGGCUUAACUGUGGGUUUGAGGUGGGUACGGGCUGGCUUGAGUGCAGUAGGGGAGGCUGGAAUUCCUGGUGUAGCGGUGGAGUGCGCAGAUAUCAGGAGGAAUACCGGUGGCGAAGGCGGGUCUCUGGGCUGUUACUGACGCUGAGGAGCGAAAGCGUGGGGAGCGAACAGG
This 420-nucleotide ribosomal RNA is filed under the name Fusobacteriota bacterium. RNAcentral's name for it is "Fusobacteria bacterium partial 16S ribosomal RNA". It matches the Rfam family "Bacterial small subunit ribosomal RNA", at positions 355 to 776 of the family's 1533-position model. The record is from RNAcentral. Lineage: Bacteria; Fusobacteriati; Fusobacteriota.